RNAcentral lists this ribosomal RNA (948 nucleotides) under uncultured Bacillus sp. Its description in RNAcentral is "bacterial SSU rRNA". It matches the Rfam family "Bacterial small subunit ribosomal RNA", at positions 8 to 946 of the family's 1533-position model. The record is from RNAcentral. Lineage: Bacteria; Bacillati; Bacillota; Bacilli; Caryophanales; Bacillaceae.
AGAGUUUGAUCAUGGCUCAGGACGAACGCUGGCGGCGUGCCUAAUACAUGCAAGUCGAGCGGACUUAAAAAGCUUGCUUUUUAAGUUAGCGGCGGACGGGUGAGUAACACGUGGGCAACCUGCCUGUAAGACUGGGAUAACUUCGGGAAACCGGAGCUAAUACCGGAUAAUCCUUUUCUACUCAUGUAGAAAAGCUGAAAGACGGUUUACGCUGUCACUUACAGAUGGGCCCGCGGCGCAUUAGCUAGUUGGUGAGGUAACGGCUCACCAAGGCGACGAUGCGUAGCCGACCUGAGAGGGUGAUCGGCCACACUGGGACUGAGACACGGCCCAGACUCCUACGGGAGGCAGCAGUAGGGAAUCUUCCGCAAUGGACGAAAGUCUGACGGAGCAACGCCGCGUGAGUGAUGAAGGUUUUCGGAUCGUAAAACUCUGUUGUUAGGGAAGAACAAGUACGAGAGUAACUGCUCGUACCUUGACGGUACCUAACCAGAAAGCCACGGCUAACUACGUGCCAGCAGCCGCGGUAAUACGUAGGUGGCAAGCGUUGUCCGGAAUUAUUGGGCGUAAAGCGCGCGCAGGCGGUCCUUUAAGUCUGAUGUGAAAGCCCACGGCUCAACCGUGGAGGGUCAUUGGAAACUGGGGGACUUGAGUGCAGAAGAGAAGAGUGGAAUUCCACGUGUAGCGGUGAAGUGCGUAGAGAUGUGGAGGAACACCAGUGGCGAAAGCGACUCUUUGGUCUGUAACUGACGCUGAGCGCGAAAGCGUGGGGAGCAAACAGGAUUAGAUACCCUGCUAGUCCACGCCGUAAACGAUGAGUGCUAAGUGUUAGAGGGUUUCCGCCCUUUAGUGCUGCAGCAAACGCAUUAAGCACUCCGCCUGGGAGUACGGCCGCAGGCUGAAACUCAAAGAAUUGACGGGGCCCGCACAGCGGUGGAGCAUGUGGUU